UUACAAUGGCAGGUACAGCGGGAAGCCACCUGGCGACAGGGAGCGGAACCCGAAAGCCUGUCUCAGUUCGGAUUGGAGUCUGCAACCCGACUCCAUGAAGCUGGAUUCGCUAGUAAUCGCGCAUCAGCCACGGCGCGGUGAAUACGUUCCCGGGCCUUGUACACACCGCCCGUCAAGCCAUGGAAGCCGGGGGUGCCUGAAGUGCGCUGCCGCAAGGAGCGCCCUAGGGUAAAACCGGUGACUGGGGCUAAGUCGUAACAAGGUAAC
Molecule: ribosomal RNA, 267 nt
Filed under: uncultured bacterium
Lineage: Bacteria
Description: partial 16S ribosomal RNA
Rfam family: Bacterial small subunit ribosomal RNA
Source: RNAcentral